GAUGAACGCUGGCGGCGUGCCUAAUACAUGCAAGUCGAGCGAACAGACGAGGAGCUUGCUCCUCUGACGUUAGCGGCGGACGGGUGAGUAACACGUGGAUAACCUACCUAUAAGACUGGGAUAACUUCGGGAAACCGGAGCUAAUACCGGAUAAUAUAUUGAACCGCAUGGUUCAAUAGUGAAAGACGGUUUUGCUGUCACUUAUAGAUGGAUCCGCGCCGCACUAGCUAGUUGGUAAGGUAACGGCUUACCAAGGCAACGAUGCGUAGCCGACCUGAGAGGGUGAUCGGCCACACUGGAACUGAGACACGGUCCAGACUCCUACGGGAGGCAGCAGUAGGGAAUCUUCCGCAAUGGGCGAAAGCUUGACGGAGCAACGCCGCGUGAGUGAUGAAGGUCUUCGGAUCGUAAAACUCUGUUAUUAGGGAAGAACAAAUGUGUAAGUAACUAUGCACGUCUGGACGGUACCUAAUCAGAAAGCCACGGCUAACUACGU
This 496-nucleotide ribosomal RNA is filed under the name uncultured bacterium. RNAcentral describes it as "partial 16S ribosomal RNA". It matches the Rfam family "Bacterial small subunit ribosomal RNA", at positions 28 to 506 of the family's 1533-position model. The record is from RNAcentral.